Molecule: non-coding RNA, 2732 nt
Organism: Camellia sinensis
Lineage: Eukaryota; Viridiplantae; Streptophyta; Magnoliopsida; Ericales; Theaceae
Source: RefSeq, a predicted model, not a curated record
AAAAGGAGUUGCUGCAAUCUUUCAGGUUUUACUUUUAUUUGUUUUUGGGUAUGUGUGUAUAGUUGGAGCCACACACAAUUUACUAACCAGUUUCACUAACAUUGAAGGUUGAAAUUAGAUGGGAUUCUAAAAAUUCUAGCCAUGGCUGGUAUAUUUCUUUAGCCAAGUGGCUGAAAUUUCUAUAAAUGAUUCCAACCAUAGAGCCCUUAACACAUGUUAAAGGCAUUUAUCCAUGUGUUUAGGUACUCCACAGUAAAAACAAACUUGGGCCGAGCUUAAUUUUAUGCUAACAGUCCCACCUGUUUGCAGGAAUUACAACAUUCCAAGGCAGCUGCACCUUUAGAACAAGACUGUUUUUAGAUCUGUACAGAACGAAAUUUUUGGGAACAACUCUGCCCCUAAACUGACCUUGAUGCCUCAAUGCCACUCAGCUUUGUGUUAAAACGAUUCGUUUUCUACUUGCACCUUUUGUUCAAUCAUUGCCUAAAUUCUAUGUUUUUUUUGGUUGUUGAGAGAGAGCCUAAACAACAGGAAAGGAAACUCUGAAUCUUAUGUUUUGGAUUUCAGAAAUGUAAAACUAAUAUUCGUCUUUGUCAAAAUUUGUAUGGCGCUUUUUAUUUGUUUAUUUUUUUCUUGUGGCCUUUUCUCCCUUCUCUAUUUCUUGGUCUCUAAUAUUGAUAAUUUGAAUGUGCAGAGUAUGAAUUUUUAGCUCUGGGUUUUUGUAAAUUUGAUUGAGAUUCAUUGUUAUUUGUGACAGUGUGUCAAAUUAAUUCAUGUUGGUAUGUCAUAUUGUUGAACAUUGAUCUUGGUAUAAGGGUAGUUGUUAUUUAUUGCUUAUAAAAAAAAAUGGUGAUUAUUGUGCAUUAUUAAUAGUAAUAGCUGCUGUACAGAGUUCUAUACUUGGUUGUCUAGUUCAUUGGGGCAAUAAGGAAAUUAAUGGCUGAUGAUUUUAGGAGAGUUUAUUUUUGUUGUGGUGCUUGUUGUUUCUAGCAAAAUAAAUAAUAAACGGCUAAUCUUUGUGGUUCAAAUCCUAUGGUCCUUGUUGAGCGGUUACCCUUGACCCAAUCCUUUUGUCUAAUUCACUUAAUGCUUUAUGUUUGUAAACAUUGAUCCCAGAAUAGGCAAAGGUGAAACGAGUCAAAAACUUAACAACUUCUUUCAUGCGUUAAAUUAUCAUUUAAAAAAAAUAAAAAUAAAAAUUUAACAUGAGAGGGCCCCAAGCAGGCUGGAAUUGUAAGUCGUACAUGGUUUUUCUAAGCAUUUGUUAUUGGAUUUAAAAACAAUCCUAAGCAGCUCAUUAGGUGCUUUUAUUUCCAGAGUUGGAAGAUUAUUUGUUGGGAAAAUUGCAAAUAAGUGGUGUCUUCACAAAAUAUUUACAAAUUCAUCAAAAAGUUUAUAACUUUAAUUAUUGAAGUUGAUAAAGUUACCACCGAUUUGUAUUUUUUUUAGAACAUGCGCUGAAGUGCAAUUUUCUCAUUUUUUUCAUAAAAAACAAGACUUAAUUUUAUGCUAAAUAUGUGUGAAUAUGUGAAUUGUUGCUGAAUGAAAUUCAUUCCCCAUCAUUUGUGAAAACCAUGAAUUGACACUCAAAUGCUUUCAUGUUGGAGCUCUUUCAUUUGGUCAAAUAAAAGAAAACUACAAAAGCCUUUUGGCUUAUAUAUUGCUAUUGUUUCUAAAUUAAAUUGAAUUUUUAUUAUUUUCUAAGGAGUUGUAUAAUCUUUUAUAACAAUAUUUGCAUCUGUUUUUGUUUUCAUUCAGGUCAUUGACAGGUCAUUUGGCUUUGAUACUGCUGUUGAGGAAGCUCAGCGAGCCAUCGAUGCUGCGCAUGUUGAAGCUGAAAGUGUUGAGAAUGGUGUUGGUGUAGUGAAGCUAAUGGGCCGCUACAUUGUAUUCAAUGUAGAAAUCGCUAAUAUCAAAAGCUGAAAGUUUGAAUGAGAUGAGGAACAUCACAUGCCUUCCUAUAACUGAAGUAAGGAUGUCAUGGUUAGCCGCGAUCACCGACUCUAAGUUGGGGUGAGAGUGAAGCCCCAUGUAAACUAUGUAAUGUUGCAAACAAAGCAUUCCAAAAUGAAUCAUUUCAUUUCAAGUGUGGUUUCUUAUCUCACAGAGGCUUCAUUGCAAUGUAUGCUACACUUGCCAGCCGAGAUGUGGACUGUUGUUUGAUUCCAGAAUCACCCUUCUUUCUGGAAGUGGUAGUGGAUGUAAUAGAUAUUGGUGAACAUGUUCUAAAACUGGUUAAUUUUGUUGUUUGGAAAUAUUGGAAAAGGCAAUAGCAACUCCUCCAACUGUUUCACCAAUAUGGUGUUCCCCAUUACUUGAGCCAGAUGAACAUGGCAUUAGUGAAUCGUCUUCACAGUUGCUGAUAAUAUAUUAGUGAAUCGUCUUCACGCUUCAUGCUCCAUUGUCUACUCACUUAUCUGUGUCGAGCUUCUUUAUUUUUGAAAAACCUUGUUCUAUGUUUUUCUUUGAAGGUACUGCUCAUUUCCUUAUUAGAAGAAUAAAGAAGCAUGUCCUAGACAAAACUACUCCUAUACAGGACUUCAUUUCCUUACUGCUCAUUUUCUUUGAGUUCACUUUGUCAUAAAUAAAUCAAUAAAUAAAUAAAUAUAUAUAUAUAUAUAUAUUAUCAUUUUUAACUAUACAAAACAAGAGGUGAGGUUGGGUUGGUGUCCAUAUUGCCAGUGAAGCCAAAAAGGAGACAAAACUACAAGCAUGAGAGUUAGCUAUCAUUU